AUACGGAGGAUGCGAGCGUUAUCCGGAUUUAUUGGGUUUAAAGGGAGCGUAGGCGGGAGCUUAAGUCAGCGGUUAAAUGGUGCGGCUCAACCGUGCCCUGCCGUUGAAACUGGGUUUCUUGAGAGUGCAAGAGGCGGAUGGAAUCCCUGGUUGAGCGGUUAAAUGCUUAGAUAUCAUGAAGAACUCCGAUUGCGAAGGCAGUCCGCUGGGGCACGUCUGACGCUGAUGCUCGAAGGUGCGGGUAUCGAACAGGAUUAGAUACCCUGGUAGUCCGCACAGUAAACGAUGGAUACUCGCUGUCGGCGAUAUACGGUCGGUGGCCAAGCGAAAGCGUCAAGUAUCCCACCUGGGGAGUACGCCGGCAACGGUGAAACUCAAAUGAAUUGACGGGG
This 392-nucleotide ribosomal RNA is filed under the name uncultured bacterium. RNAcentral describes it as "partial 16S ribosomal RNA". It matches the Rfam family "Bacterial small subunit ribosomal RNA", at positions 523 to 918 of the family's 1533-position model. The record is from RNAcentral.